Molecule: ribosomal RNA, 253 nt
Filed under: uncultured bacterium
Lineage: Bacteria
Description: partial 16S ribosomal RNA
Rfam family: Bacterial small subunit ribosomal RNA
Source: RNAcentral
UACGUAGGGUGCAAGCGUUGUCCGGAAUUAUUGGGCGUAAAGAGCUCGUAGGCGGUCUGUCGCGUCGGCUGUGAAAACCCGGAGCUCAACUCCGGGCCUGCAGUCGAUACGGGCAGACUGGAGUUCGGCAGGGGAGACUGGAAUUCCUGGUGUAGCGGUGAAAUGCGCAGAUAUCAGGAGGAACACCGGUGGCGAAGGCGGGUCUCUGGGCCGACACUGACACUGAGAGACGAAAGCUAGGGGAGUGAAUGGG